AUGACCUGGGCUCUUCUCCUCCUCAGCCUCCUCAGUCAGGGCCCAGGGACCUGGGCCCAGAAUGCCCUGAUUCAGCUUUCCUCCGUGUCCGGGAGUCAGGGACAGACAGUCACCAUCUCCUGUACAGGAACCAGCAAUGACAUUGGGGGAUAUAAUGCUGUCUCCUGGUACCAGCAGCAGGAGGGCACAGCCCCCAAAAUGUUGAUUUAUAACGUCAAUAAGCGGCCAUCAGGGAUCUCUGAUCGCUUCUCUGGCUCCAAGUCUGGCAACACAGCGACCCUGACUAUCUCUGGGCUCAAGCCUGAGGACGAGGCUGAUUACUACUGUAGUUCCUACAGAAGUGCUAACAAUCUCACAGUGGUUCACGUUCAUAGGGAAUUUAAGAACUCUGUACUACAAAUUCAGAACUGCAUUCAUAGCUACCAGAGUAGAGCAGACAGACACAAUGAGGAUGCGGUGUACAAGUCCAGCAAGAUUAAUGAACUAGGUUGGUGA
Non-coding RNA from Sorex fumeus (smoky shrew), 495 nucleotides. The record is from the annotation of a RefSeq genome assembly. NCBI's taxonomy places the organism in Eukaryota, Metazoa, Chordata, Mammalia, Eulipotyphla, Soricidae.